CGUUUCACUUGACAAUGCAUUAGUGAUAGGGCUUGAGAUUGUGGUGUUGACUUUAGGGGUUUGUUGGAUUAAUUCAAGGCUGUACUUGAUUUAAGAUGCAAAUGAACGUUAAGUCAAUCUAGAUACGUCAAACGCAUCUCAACUGUGAUAUUCUAACAAAUCGCAGGAGUGGUGUUACCUUUCUACGCACGUUGAAAAAGCGGUCGUAGCUGCAGCUUUGGAUCUCCGUUUUACGAGAAAUGGUAUGUUGCUAGGAAGCAGGUAUGAAUUAGUCAACUGUAGCAAAGUCGAAGAAGAAGUCAUCUGGUCCUAAACUGGACCUGAAUGAAGAACAGAAGUCUGAUAUCAGAGAAGCCUUUGAUUUAUUUGAUACAGAAGGAACUGGAACAAUAGAUUCAAAGGAUUUGAAGGUAGCCUUGCGAGCCCUAGGAUUUGAACCCAGGAAAGAAGAAAUAAAGAAAAUGGUUGCAGAGGUUGACAAGGACAACUCUGGUAAAAUAUGUUUCGACGAUUUUCUGGCGUUGAUGACUUCGAAAAUGGCAGAAAAAGAUACCAAAGAGGAAAUACUGAAGGCCUUCCGUUUGUUCGAUGACGACGAAACCGGAAAAAUAUCAUUCAAGAAUCUCAAACGUGUCUCGGAAGAACUCGGAGAGAAUCUCACCGAUGAAGAGCUACAGGAGAUGAUUGAGGAGGCCGACCUCGACGGGGACAGCGAAAUCAACCAGGAUGAGUUCCUGCGAAUCAUGAAAAAGACGAGUCUGUACUGAAACGCUCGUCACUUGUGAAAGGCUGCUUCCAUUCCAGCUGUUUUCAAAUGCUGCCACCGCGCUAUCGUGUGUUCGACAUGCUUUUGACUAGUGUCAUGUGUUGCGAGCCUGUUGUGGCUCUGCAAUUUCAUUUUGCUUUGUUUCCAUUUGUAUUGUUGUCGAUCAUGGUUUCUCCCUUAUUCGUCGUCUCGCAAUUACCGUUUGCCUGAUACGUGCUAGUCAUGUUACGGUUGCCUUUUUAGUUCAUUGGUAGUUCAGAAGGAAUGCUGGCGUUGUGUUGAGGUGGCACUGAUUUGUAAAACAGUGUUACAUUAUUUUUUAUGACCAUUUCGGUAGUUAGACGUGCACGUUCGGAGAAAAACGAACUUUUUUGUUGGUUAAUUGUAAUCGGAAUGCAUCGUGAGGCAUUCAUUUUUCAUUUAUAAUUAAUUAUUGGGAUCGUUCUUUUCAAAAUUUAUGUUUGUGCGCAACGCAGGCUGCAGUGCGUAAGUUUGGUGACUGCUUUCUUUUGUCGUAUUGGUAUUUAAACAACGAUGACGGUAUGAUAGGACUAGGCUCGACAGAUGUGCCCAAUAUUUUUGUGAUGUGAUUUACAUAUCUCGCUCUAUUCAAUAUCAUCCGCAUUGUGAUCUCUCCGCAUCAUGUGACUGCUUGAGCUCCGUCAUUCAAAUAAAGCCAGUUCUUCACA
RNA transcript from Amphibalanus amphitrite, 1455 nucleotides. It is a transcript of the gene named caltractin-like, with no coding region annotated. NCBI's taxonomy places the organism in Eukaryota, Metazoa, Arthropoda, Thecostraca, Balanomorpha, Balanidae. The record is from RefSeq and is a predicted model, not a curated record. The transcript has 5 exons.